ACUUGCGCCCUUGCGGCCCGCGCAUGUGGACGCCGCUGUGUUUCGUACGCGGUGUCUUGUGCGAUGUCUCUACCUGCUUGCAGCAGGAGGAAGCGAGGAACCGACCCGCUCUUGCCAUACUCCUGGCCACCGCCAGAGGGCGACAGGCCCUCACGCUAACUCCCACUCCCACUCGAGAUCAGGACACAGAGGUUCAAGUUCAAGUUUGUCAGUCCAGCCGUAUACAAGUAUACAGAGGAGCGAGAUAUCGUCCUCCAGGUCUACUGUGCGAGUACAGACAAGACACUGACAAGACAACGUAGACGCAGACAUUUCUGACUAGGUACAGGGUAACAUCAAGUGCAAUGUGCAGAGUGCAAUUGACUUUACAGGAUUGUGCAAAGAACACGUCAGACAGUACGUACGCCUGACAUCUGGCAAAAAGAACUAGGUUUCCAGAUUUGGAGUAGGUUCAGUGGGUACCAGGGGGUUGAGGAGCCUGCGGUGCCUUGGUGUGAGCAGCGUGUGUGGUCGCUGUCCUGGGUGGACGGAAGGGAGGCCCCAGUGGUGUUUCCUGCCGGGGGGGUGAGAGGCGUCCUUCGGGUGACUGUCGGCCCUUGCGAAGGAGAAGCUGGGCUGGUGUUGUUAAGUGCUCACAGAACUCACUGGACUUUCCUCACACGUGACUCAGCCUGCUGGGCUAUAAAGACAGAGAGGCAGCCAGGGGAAAUCAGAAUCGGGACAGAGUGAGAGAGAAGACUGCUUCCACACGCACAGAGAGAAGACUGCUUCCACACACACAGAGAGAGAAGACUGCUUCCACACGCACAGAGAGAGAAGACUGCUUCCACACGCACAGAGAGAAGACUGCUUCCACACGCACAGAGAGAGAAGACUGCUUCCACAAGCACAGAGAGAGAAGACUGCUUCCACACGCACAGAGAAGACUGCUUCCACACGCACAGAGAGAACGCAGUGCAGCCAUGCAGACUCACAACACUGACAGCAGGAGUGCAGAGACCACAGACAGGUAGCAUCCCUUCACUCUUCACUUCCUC
Lepisosteus oculatus (spotted gar) is the source of this 1037-nucleotide non-coding RNA. Lineage: Eukaryota; Metazoa; Chordata; Actinopteri; Semionotiformes; Lepisosteidae. The record is from RefSeq and is a predicted model, not a curated record.